CUAGACUAUUUAAUUUUCAUCAGAAAAUUCCUGUUUUUGAAUGUGAAGAUUGUCAUUUUUAUUACUGUAACAUAUAUAAAAUAUAAUCCACUUAAUGCACACACUCUUAACAUAUUUAUGCUUUAACAUACAAUAACAUUCCUGUUCUCAUAUCAUAAUAGAUGACACUGUACUGUAUUGUACAUCUCUGCAAGUUGGGCAUCUGUGUAAGUUGGGGAGAGAGUGUGUACAAUACAGUACAGUCACUUUCCCAGAUUUCUGAAAAACAUAACUCUUAUUUCAAUCAGAAAAAUAAUUUGACAAAAAUUCUGGAUAAAAAAUUUCCAGGGCUAUGUCACUACAAUAAGUGCACCUAUACAAUGUUAUGGUGGUGUUCUUGAUUGAAAUGGAAGCAAGCUAUAAGGAACCAUAUUGAAUCAGUAACAUGCUACUUAGGAUCAACAAACCAUAUACAAAAUUAAGUAAUAUAAUAUUUCAAUAAUGUAAAAAUAACAUGUUUGAACUUAUAAUACACAAAUAUAGCAGAUGCUUAUGAUUUAUAUCUGAAAAAAUAAAGUUAU
Molecule: long non-coding RNA, 560 nt
Filed under: Androctonus crassicauda
Lineage: Eukaryota; Metazoa; Arthropoda; Arachnida; Scorpiones; Buthidae
Source: RNAcentral